Molecule: unclassified non-coding RNA, 2308 nt
Filed under: Hevea brasiliensis (rubber tree)
Lineage: Eukaryota; Viridiplantae; Streptophyta; Magnoliopsida; Malpighiales; Euphorbiaceae
Source: RNAcentral
AGAAUCACGAGGCCAAUGAACAAUUUUCUAAUCUAACACAAGCAAUUUUCAAAUUAGUUCUAGACUGACUCCAUGACCAAUCCUUUUCAGUCCAAAAAAAGAUUCCUACUCUUCCCCUAUUCUCAUUACAUGCCUCCCACCACCCAAAUGGACCUUAAGCAUAACGUAGAGGCUCCAAUGUCCUCAAUGCUCUGCCAGUCGCCAUCUCUUCUUCAUUUUAUAUUAAUGUGGGUGACUUAGCAUCCCUGAUUAAUAAUAAUAAGCAAGUUGAUGCCAUUUCCAAGCUUUGUAUCAGUUUCUGCAACUCAGAUUGAUAGGGGUAGGCAAAUAGUCCAAAUCAGUGACUAUUAUUAUUAUUAUUUUUCUUGCUUCGGUUCAAAGGAGUGAGAAGGAAAAUUCAGGGUUUUGACUGCAAGUUCUUAAUCAGUAGAUUAAUCCAAUGAUCAAAUGAAUAAUUAUAGGUAUAUAUAUACAUUUUUAAACAUGCAUUGUAUUAUUAAAAUGAAACAGUUGACCCACUGUUUCAUAGCUCCAUGUUGCAGGAAAAUGCUGUCAUCAUUAUUUAGUGUUUCUCUCUUUGUCCUGAUUCCUUCAAUUUCAUAACUACCCCUGUUAUGAUACAUUUCUGCUUAAAAUUUGUUUAUAUGGUAUUGGCUGGUUUUGACAUCAACCUCUGUGGCUUUGUUCUUUCUCCUUUCUUUUCAUUUAAACAGCUUUAUAAUUUAGUCUUUCCUGGUCUGUUAAGAACUUUAAGAAAGAAGCAAGAAUCAUGCUGAGUAAUCCAGAACAACUUACCAUAAAUGGAGAAUCUAAGGUACUUUCUUUUCCCAUUGAUUUUCAAGAAUUCUUAGCCCAUCUAGUAUUUUCGUGUAUUCCUGAUAUGUGGGGUUUAUGGAUUUGUAAAUUUUCAGGACAUGAUAGAAGGUAAACUUGAAGACCCACAAGCUUCUAUAUCCAAUAAUUCACCAAUGCAGAAUGGCAGGCCAAGCAGCAUGGUUAUCAAGGCAAGUCUUAUUCUCUUUGAAUAGUUUCCCUCUUGAGUUUGUAAGAUCUAUGUAUACAUUAUUGGUGUUUCUUGCUUAAAUUGAUUCAAGUUUUGCUUUGAUAAUAACAGAAAGCAAAUAGGGUAAUUCCAGCUCACCUGGUAGCUGAAGCCAUAUCAACCAUCCGAGGCCUUGACCUGAGAUGGUCAGGACCAAUAACUCCUAGCGAAAUGGAGUAUGUUAGGCAGUAUGUGUUCGCCAAGUACCCUCAAUAUUGCAAUGGAAUUGUGGAAGAGAGAGUCACAAUUGAUCUAACCAAUCUCUCUAUCAACGAGGAAUCAUCGGAAUCUACUCAGGAUGAAAAGCGCAAUAAUUCCCCCAAGAGUCUUGCAUCUAAAGAGACUUCAUCUCCUUCCUUCACUCGUAGCCUCUCCGAUCUUGACAAAACCCAAUUGGAGGCCUCAAGACUUCUAGAUAUCCUUUCCAAGAAAACUUCCUUUCAAGGGAAUUUCAUUUCAAUCCCAGAAAUCCAAGCUCGAAAUCGAGCCCUGAAACACUGUGGUCUUAGCGAAGAAGACUACUUGGUCCUUUUCAUGCCAAACUAUAGGGACGCUAUGGCGAUGAUUGGAGAGAGCUACCCUUUCUUUAAGGGCAACUACUACAUGACAAUUCUUGGUGAAGAAGUUGACACCAUUAGGGAAUUUGCAACUCAGAGAGAAUCAAAGGUUAUUCCAAUGCCAGAAACAUGGUUGGAUCUCAGGAUCAAAGGGUCACAACUUAGCCAAUACUUUAGAAGGAAGUGCAAGUACACACCAAAGGGCCUUUUCUCUUAUCCAGUUGCUGUGAAUGGGACUAGAUACUCUAUGCAUUGGAUUUCAGAGGCACAUAGAAAUUCUUGGCAUGUUCUCCUCGAUGCUACAGGCUUGGUUUUUGGGGAGGAUCGGCUAGCCCUUGCACUCCACCGGCCAGAUUUUGUGCUGUGUACACUUGAUAAUACACAUGGUCAGCCUUCAAAAAUCACUUGCCUCUUGGUCAGGAAAAUAUCAUUUGAUACCUCGGCAUCUUUGGCCUAGAUUCUCUUACUGCAAAAUUGCCGGUAAUGAGGAUGUUAGGAUGUCAUUUUACCAUUAUGUUCCUUUUUCAAUUGGAACGUUUUUUAUUCUCUUCUCAAUUGCAUGCUCAAAACUGAAUGCAUACAUGGAAAAAAUGCACUUUUAAGAUUACUUGAAGAGAAAAUUUAGUCUCGAGAUACUCCUGAUAUAAGUAUUAAAAAAUUGCAAAUUUAUAAUUUUGAAAUUACUUCAAUAUCAUUGAAUGGAAGUUCG